Molecule: ribosomal RNA, 484 nt
Filed under: uncultured bacterium
Lineage: Bacteria
Description: partial 16S ribosomal RNA
Rfam family: Bacterial small subunit ribosomal RNA
Source: RNAcentral
AUUGAACGCUGGCGGCAGGCCUAACACAUGCAAGUCGAGCGGAUGAAGGGAGCUUGCUCCUGGAUUCAGCGGCGGACGGGUGAGUAAUGCCUAGGAAUCUGCCUGGUAGUGGGGGAUAACGUCCGGAAAUGGGCGCUAAUACCGCAUACGUCCUGAGGGAGAAAGUGGGGGAUCUUCGGACCUCACGCUAUCAGAUGAGCCUAGGUCGGAUUAGCUAGUUGGUGGGGUAAAGGCCUACCAAGGCGACGAUCCGUAACUGGUCUGAGAGGAUGAUCAGUCACACUGGAACUGAGACGCGGUCCAGACUCCUACGGGAGGCAGCAGUGGGGAAUAUUGGACAAUGGGCGAAAGCCUGAUCCAGCCAUGCCGCGUGUGUGAAGAAGGUCUUCGGAUUGUAAAGCACUUUAAGUUGGGAGGAAGGGCAGUAAGUUAAUACCUUGCUGUUUUGACGUUACCAACAGAAUAAGCACCGGCUAACUUCGUG